Long non-coding RNA from Monomorium pharaonis (pharaoh ant), 624 nucleotides. RefSeq lists it as uncharacterized. The transcript has 2 exons. NCBI's taxonomy places the organism in Eukaryota, Metazoa, Arthropoda, Insecta, Hymenoptera, Formicidae. The record is from RefSeq and is a predicted model, not a curated record.
UCUCUCUCUCUCUCUCCCUCUCCCCUUUUUCCUUUCAUCCUCUCUUCCCCCUCUAUCUCGUAUUUGCUUAAUGCAUAAGCAAUUUCCGUGUCGGAGGCGCCACAGACAGUUUCCUAUAAUAACCCACUUACAGCGACUCGACGAUGAACUAUUGUCGCGACUCGGCCAAUUCCAUUCGGAAUUGCGACUGCCGCACAAUCGCAAGACACCCGAGGCAUUUUGACCCAGAAAACGAGGCGUGCUUCCGCGCGCUACGAGGAUAAACGAAAUGAGAGAGGGAUGCAAACGGAAUGAAGAGAUUUUCGUAGACGUUUGGAAACAUAGUAUCCUUAGAGCGGUAGCCGGAGGACAGUAUAUACUCUGCUCAAGAUGCGUUAGAUGGCACGUUGGAAUGAAGAAAAGAGAGUAAAGUGGAAUGAAGAACCAGGGAGAAAUCUCCGACCGGGCGACAACAGUUUUGCUAUAUCCUAUCAAAGAUCGCUUUUACGGGUCGUUGCGUUCCACAAAUCGGCCGUCGGUUUCAUUGGCUCCACACCCAUGACGACACAUGGUGGUUACGCAUCGCUGCGUUUCGCCUUGCGGAAACGGCGGUUUUAUGCAUUUCACAAUAAGAGCGAGAGAGAG